GGGCUUGCGUGAUGCAAAAAACACACGGAAACGUGCGACACCGCACAUAAUCACGUGACACAAAGUACCUUCAUUCGUCAGCCGAACCAUCCCCGUAUGUGUGCUUUUCGCCGUCGAUUGAAGGUGAGUCAGUGAUGCAAAAGCACAUCUUACUUUCGCCUACGCAAAUAUCAAAGUUUACACGAAGCGCUAUCAAGUCUGCUCCGAGAUAGCGCCAAACUUCCCAACUUGAAAAAAGACCAGAAACGGUUAGCUAAUGCGCGUGCGUCAACAGUAUGUAUACUAAGUGGAAUGGAAGGCAAUUAAUGCAACAUAGUCAUGUGCUGACAUAGCACUCAGAGAAAAGAGAGGAUGAGUUGAGAUCAAAGGAUAAGUGGACAUUACAGUUUUGUGGUGUUCUUCUAUUUGCUGCUGCCUACUUUGAUGCCGAUCGAAGACAAAUGUGUACAUGUUGUUACUCUGAUUAAUUAAUCUAUAGGAAGGAAACAACGAAUACGAAAAGACAAUUACAUUAGUAAAAUGAUUUAUACUAGUCAUGCAUAUUCAGUUGUAUGUAUUUGUCAUCCAAAAUGACCAGUUUGGCUGGUUAUGGAUCUAAUGGUAUGUGAAAGUUGCUUCAUUUUGGAGUUUCAAAGUAAGUACAGUAUAAUUUUAAUAAUAAUGAACCAUAGAUUGUAAUAGAAACUACACGGUUGCAAUAAUUGCUACUAGAGAUCUUAAUUAAUUAGCAGCCAAGCCAUGCAGUGGUGUACAGUUAAUAAGUUUUAAUUAAUAAGGCAGUCAAUCUAGUUGAUAGAAUGAGGUACGUGGGAAAGGCGUUGUGCACGUUUGCUAUUUCUUUAGCUUUGCUCUGGAAGUUUCAAGUUUCGAUAU
Long non-coding RNA from Corticium candelabrum, 873 nucleotides. RefSeq lists it as uncharacterized. Lineage: Eukaryota; Metazoa; Porifera; Homoscleromorpha; Homosclerophorida; Plakinidae. The record is from RefSeq and is a predicted model, not a curated record. The transcript has 4 exons.